Brassica napus (rape) is the source of this 1473-nucleotide long non-coding RNA. RefSeq lists it as uncharacterized. The transcript is spliced from 2 exons. The record is from RefSeq and is a predicted model, not a curated record. NCBI's taxonomy places the organism in Eukaryota, Viridiplantae, Streptophyta, Magnoliopsida, Brassicales, Brassicaceae.
ACAGACUUGCGCGUAGCGUGAGUAUAAAAUCUAGUCAUUCUUUAUAUAUAAAAUACAGCUUCCUCUCUUCUUAGACAUGCCACAUGAGAUUCCAUGUAAUCAAUUAGGUGCAGAAGAGCGCGACACGUGUCCACUUAAACUAAACGCUGAGUUUCAUUUAUUCUGGUGUCCAUUUCGUUUGGGCUUUAGUGCGUAUUCGGGCUUAAUGAAACCCAACCCGGAUAAAGAGUAGCUCCAAUUGUUAUGGAAGCGCGUCGUUUCUGAUUUAGGGAUCAACACGUUCUUCAUCUCCCCCAUUCGAGAGCUAAUCUCAACCUAAGGUUUCCAUGGCGUUGUUUCAUGUUCUUCCUAACAAUCCGAGAAGCUAUCAGUUACAGAUUCAUCCUCUUAAAUCCACCACCCACGAUCUACAUGUUCUUUCAUCUUCUUCCUAACAAUCCGAGAAGCUAUACAGAUUCAUCUUCUUAAAUCCACCAUCCACGAUCUACCUUGAAUGCGAUCUUCACGCAAGGCCGUGGAACCUCGACUAUAAAAAGACCAGACGAGUACGGUACAGUAGGAGGAGGAAAGCGGUAGCGACGGAGGAGAGGAGGAUCAAGGCAAUGAGGGACCAGCCGUGUCCGGUUUGAAUCCGGUUGUUUAUUGUAAUUUUCCCGUCCCUUAAAACUCAUGUUCAUCAUUAUUUUGAACACACAUGGUGAUCAGAUUCAUAUUUAUCAGAAUUAUUCUUUUUGUAUAUUUCCUCUUUGCAAUAUGAUUUGAAUCUGUUGUUUAUUAUUAUUUUCCUCAUUCCAGUGUUCAUUGUCUUCCCAUAUACAAGCGACUGGGUUCUAUGUUUUACUUAAAACUCUCGUGUUCACUUAAGACUUCAUUAUAUUCAGGUUCCUGGUCUCCACCUUUUGCUUCUAUAUAUCCAAUUGUCACCCUUUGGAAACCAAACCCUACAUUUACUGUUUGUCCCACUUAACACAAGCUUCUGACCGUGCAGCUCCAUAUGCCUUUCAAGUUCUUUCUUUUGUUUAAGGCAGACACCGCUGAAGGUGCAGAGAUGUAUAAGGUAAUCAAAGAGACUACUAAUCACCCAAGGGUGAAGUUCACAGAUUUUGAAUGUGGUCUGGUGGGUGCUCUGAAGAAUUGUGUUGUAUCAGCUGUAGCUUAGCUGCUUGGUGGAGCUUUUUUGGGUGUGAUAAAGCUGUGAGAUCUAGAAGAAACAAAGAGUUAGUUGAUAAUCAGUGAACAUCAAAAUAAAUAGUCAGUUUUAGAUUGUUGGAAGGGUAAGUGUUCUUUUAUGUUUAAUAAAGUGACCACCCGAAUCUAGAGAUCAAUGAACAUUGAUGAAUAUGAUUCUUGCAACUCUCUAUUCUGUUAUAGUUUCUCUUAUUUAUUGCUGCAAGUCCCAUGCUAUGCAUGAGUUUAGUACCAAAGCUCUUCAUUCAUGUAGAAGGUUAAAGUAUACAACAAUCUAUUCAGGUU